This is a long non-coding RNA of Labeo rohita (rohu), 121 nucleotides long. RefSeq lists it as uncharacterized. The record is from RefSeq and is a predicted model, not a curated record. The transcript has 2 exons. NCBI's taxonomy places the organism in Eukaryota, Metazoa, Chordata, Actinopteri, Cypriniformes, Cyprinidae.
AGACGCUGUUUCCACUCGUUCAGUGCUGGAAUGAACAUCGACCCUCUUCAGCUCAUCGCAAGAAUGAAGAAAACUAAAUGCAUGGCAGAUGAGCUGUGGAGUGUCACAAACCGCAGGAGAA